Molecule: ribosomal RNA, 260 nt
Filed under: uncultured bacterium
Lineage: Bacteria
Description: partial 16S ribosomal RNA
Rfam family: Bacterial small subunit ribosomal RNA
Source: RNAcentral
CCUACGGGACGCAGCAGUAGGGAAUCUUCCACAAUGGACGAAAGUCUGAUGAAGCAACGCCGCGUGAGUGAAGAAGGGUUUCGGCUCGUAAAGCUCUGUUGGUAGUGAAGAAAGAUAGAGGUAGUAACUGGCCUUUAUUUGACGGUAAUUACUUAGAAAGUCACGGCUAACUACGUGCCAGCAGCCGCGGUAAUACGUAUGGUGCAAGCGUUAUCCGGAAUGACUGGGUGUAAAGGGAGCGUAGACGGUUGUACAAGUCU